This 265-nucleotide signal recognition particle RNA is filed under the name Clostridiales bacterium KA00134. RNAcentral describes it as "Bacterial large signal recognition particle RNA". It matches the Rfam family "Bacterial large signal recognition particle RNA". Rfam says of the family: The signal recognition particle (SRP) is a universally conserved ribonucleoprotein involved in the co-translational targeting of proteins to membranes. Archaeal SRP consists of a 7S RNA and homologues of the eukaryotic SRP19 and SRP54 proteins. In most bacteria, the SRP consists of a 4.5S RNA and the Ffh protein (a homologue of the eukaryotic SRP54 protein). The record is from Rfam by way of RNAcentral. Lineage: Bacteria; Bacillati; Bacillota; Clostridia; Eubacteriales. RNAcentral also lists the same sequence under 1 other name.
CCGUACUAGAUGGGGAGCUAGCGGCACCCUAUAACCCACAAUCCGCUACAGUGGGAUUGAAUUCCCCACCUAGGAUUAUACUUGUGUGGUCUGCCCCAUGUAAGCAGCGUUGAGAGCAGGGCCUUGCGCAAUGGAAACUUUCGAACCGUGUCAGGUCUUGACGGAAGCAGCACUAAGGAAGAAUUUUCAUGUGCCGUAAGUUCCCCCUGCUGGAGCCGGCUGCAUGGGUAACGCAUGUGAGUAUAAUUCGAAGUGGGGUGUACGG